RNAcentral lists this ribosomal RNA (425 nucleotides) under uncultured bacterium. Its description in RNAcentral is "partial 16S ribosomal RNA". It matches the Rfam family "Bacterial small subunit ribosomal RNA", at positions 354 to 796 of the family's 1533-position model. The record is from RNAcentral.
GUGGGGAAUCUUGCGCAAUGGGCGAAAGCCUGACGCAGCCAUGCCGCGUGGAUGAUGAAGGUCUUAGGAUUGUAAAAUCCUUUCACCGGUGAAGAUAAUGACUGUAGCCGGAGAAGAAGCCCCGGCUAACUUCGUGCCAGCAGCCGCGGUAAUACGAAGGGGGCUAGCGUUGCUCGGAUUUACUGGGCGUAAAGGGCGCGUAGGCGGACAUUUAAGUCAGGGGUGAAAUCCCGGGGCGCAACCUCGGAACUGCCUUUGAUACUGGGUGUCUUGAGUAUGAGAGAGGUGUGUGGAACUCCGAGUGUAGAGGUGAAAUUCGUAGAUAUUCGGAAGAACACCAGUGGCGAAGGCGACUCACUGGCCCAAUACUGACACUGAGGCGCGAAAGCGUGGGGAGCAAACAGGAUUAGAAACCCGAGUAGUCC